GACGAACCGUGCGAACGUUAUUCGGAAUCACUGGGCUUAAAGCGCGUGUAGGCGGGACGGCACGUCGGUCGCUGAAAUCCCCCGGCUCAACCGGGGAACGGGCGCCGAUACGACCGCCCUGGAGGGACGUAGGGGGACCUGGAACUUCCGGUGGAGCGGUGAAAUGCGUUGAGAUCGGAAGGAACGCCCGUGGCGAAAGCGAGGUCCUGGACGUCUUCUGACGCUGAGACGCGAAAGCCAGGGGAGCGAACGGG
RNAcentral lists this ribosomal RNA (254 nucleotides) under uncultured bacterium. RNAcentral's name for it is "partial 16S ribosomal RNA". It matches the Rfam family "Bacterial small subunit ribosomal RNA", at positions 524 to 776 of the family's 1533-position model. The record is from RNAcentral.